Molecule: ribosomal RNA, 497 nt
Filed under: uncultured bacterium
Lineage: Bacteria
Description: partial 16S ribosomal RNA
Rfam family: Bacterial small subunit ribosomal RNA
Source: RNAcentral
GAUGAACGCUGGCGGCGUGCCUAAUACAUGCAAGUCGAGCGAACAGACGAGGAGCUUGCUCCUCUGACGUUAGCGGCGGACGGGUGAGUAACACGUGGAUAACCUACCUAUAAGACUGGGAUAACUUCGGGACACCGGAGCUAAUACCGGAUAAUAUAUUGAACCGCAUGGUUCAAUAGUGAAAGACGGUUUUGCUGUCACUUAUAGAUGGAUCCGCGCCGCUGUAGCUAGUUGGUAAGGUCACGGCUUACCAAGGCAACGAGGCGUAGCCGACCUGAGAGGGUGGUCGGCCACACGGGAACGUGGACAGCGUCCAGACGCCUACGGGAGGCAGCAGUAGGGAACGGUCGGCAAAGGGCGAAAGCCUUACGGAGCAACGCGGCGUCAGUGAUGAAGGUCUUCGGAGCGUAAAACUGGGUUACGAGUGAUGAACAAAUGUGGAAUGAACUAUACACGUCUUGACGGUACCUAAUCAGAAAGCCACGGCUAACUACGUG